GAUGAACGCUGGCGGCGUGCCUAAUACAUGCAAGUCGAGCGAACGGACGAGAAGCUUGCUUCUCUGAUGUUAGCGGCGGACGGGUGAGUAACACGUGGAUAACCUACCUAUAAGACUGGGAUAACUUCGGGAAACCGUAGCUAAUACCGGAUCAUAUUUUGAACCGCAUGGUUCAAAAGUGAAAGACAGUCUUGCUGUCACUUAUAGAUGGAUCCGCGCUGCAUUAGCUAGUUGGUAAGGUAACGGCUUACCAAGGCAACGAUGCAUAGCCGACCUGAGAGGGUGAUCGGCCACACUGGAACUGAGACACGGUCCAGACUCCUACGGGAGGCAGCAGUAGGGAAUCUUCCGCAAUGGGCGAAAGCCUGACGGAGCAACGCCGCGUGAGUGAUGAAGGUCUUCGGAUCGUAAAGCUCUGUUAUUAGGGAAGAACAUAUGUGUAAGUAACUGUGCACAUCUUGACGGUACCUAAUCAGAAAGCCACGGCUAACUACGUG
Molecule: ribosomal RNA, 497 nt
Filed under: uncultured bacterium
Lineage: Bacteria
Description: partial 16S ribosomal RNA
Rfam family: Bacterial small subunit ribosomal RNA
Source: RNAcentral